GACGAGCGCUGGCGGCGUGCUUAACACAUGCAAGUCGAACGGAAAGGCCUCUUCGGAGGUACUCGAGUGGCGAACGGGUGAGUAACACGUGGGCAAUCUGCCCUGCACUUCGGGAUAAGCCUGGGAAACUGGGUCUAAUACCGGAUAGGACCUCAAGACGCAUGUCUUCUGGUGGAAAGCUUUUGCGGUGUGGGAUGGGCCCGCGGCCUAUCAGCUUGUUGGUGGGGUGACGGCCUACCAAGGCGACGACGGGUAGCCGGCCUGAGAGGGUGUCCGGCCACACUGGGACUGAGAUACGGCCCAGACCCCUACGGGAGGCAGCAGUGGGGAAUAUUGCACAAUGGGCGCAAGCCUGAUGCAGCGACGCCGCGUGGGGGAUGACGGCCUUCGGGUUGUAAACCUCUUUCACCAUCGACGAAGGUCCGGGUUUUCUCGGAUUGACGGUAGGUGGAGAAGAAGCACCGGCCAACUACGUGCCAGCAGCCGCGGUAA
This 492-nucleotide ribosomal RNA is filed under the name uncultured bacterium. Its description in RNAcentral is "partial 16S ribosomal RNA". It matches the Rfam family "Bacterial small subunit ribosomal RNA", at positions 28 to 523 of the family's 1533-position model. The record is from RNAcentral.